This is a long non-coding RNA of Mercurialis annua (annual mercury), 472 nucleotides long. RefSeq lists it as uncharacterized. The record is from RefSeq and is a predicted model, not a curated record. The transcript is spliced from 3 exons. Lineage: Eukaryota; Viridiplantae; Streptophyta; Magnoliopsida; Malpighiales; Euphorbiaceae.
UUCACAUAUUCUUGGUCAUUGAAUUCAUAAUUGACCGUCAAAUAUAUGGGUUCUGUUGGAGGGUCUGGAAUUUUCAGAGACAAAACAUAUAUGACUGAGGUUGAUGAAAUGAGAUUGCUUCAUCCAAGCCAAUCAUUCUAAUUUAUACUAAACCAGACUAUCAUCUGCUUCUUCUUCUUCAGCACUAUACAAAUCAAAGGACGCAGCAUUGAUGCUUAAAAGAGACUGAUAGAGGAGGAGGUUUUUGAAUGGAAACUACCCAAAUCAUCCAUUAAAAAAGAUGAUCAUAAGAUAUUAUUAAAGUUCCACUUAUUGAGAAGAUGAAGAACAGUCAAAAUCGCUUCUACCCCAGGUAACUGUUAGAUAUUUUGAAUUACAAUUAGUUUUUCAUCAGCUGCCCCUACUUUCUUUUACCAUGUUCAAGACUUAUUUUUCACUAUAUAUCUCAUGCUAUCUACUCUUUGCUGAUAAA